GAUGAACGCUGGCGGCGUGCCUAAUACAUGCAAGUCGAGCGAACGGACGAGAAGCUUGCUUCUCUGAUGUUAGCGGCGGACGGGUGAGUAACACGUGGAUAACCUACCUAUAAGACUGGGAUCACUUCGGGAAACCGGAGCUAAUACCGGAUAAUAUUUUGAACCGCAUGGUUCAAAAGUGAAAGACGGUCUUGCUGUCUCUUAUAGAUGGAUCCGCGCUGCAUUAGCUAGUUGGUACGGUAACGGCUUACCAAGGCAACGAUGCAUAGCCGACCUGAGAGGGUGGUCGGCCACACUGGAACUGAGACACGGUCCAGAGUCCUACGGGAGGCAGCAGUAGGGAAUCUUCCGCAAUGGGCGAAAGCCUGACGGAGCAACGCCGCGUGAGUGAUGAAGGUCUUCGGAUCGUAAAACUCUGUUAUUAGGGAAGAACAUAUGUGUAAGUAACUGUGCACAUCUUGACGGUACCUAAUCAGAAAGCCACGGCUAACUACGUG
This 497-nucleotide ribosomal RNA is filed under the name uncultured bacterium. Its description in RNAcentral is "partial 16S ribosomal RNA". It matches the Rfam family "Bacterial small subunit ribosomal RNA", at positions 28 to 507 of the family's 1533-position model. The record is from RNAcentral.